This 253-nucleotide ribosomal RNA is filed under the name uncultured bacterium. Its description in RNAcentral is "partial 16S ribosomal RNA". It matches the Rfam family "Bacterial small subunit ribosomal RNA", at positions 524 to 776 of the family's 1533-position model. The record is from RNAcentral.
UACGUAGGAUGCAAGCGUUGUCCGGAAUUAUUGGGCGUAAAGAGCGCGCAGGCGGUAUGACAAGUCAGAUGUGAAAGAGGCCGGCUUAACCGGCAAGGGUCAUUUGAAACUGUCAGACUAGAGUGCAGCAGAGGAUAGUGGAAUUCCCGGUGUAGUGGUGAAAUGCGUAGAUAUCGGGAGGAACACCAGUGGCGAAGGCGACUACCUGGGCUGCAACUGACGCUGAGGCGCGAAGGCUAGGGUAGCAAACAGG